Long non-coding RNA from Varanus komodoensis (Komodo dragon), 209 nucleotides. RefSeq lists it as uncharacterized. The record is from RefSeq and is a predicted model, not a curated record. NCBI's taxonomy places the organism in Eukaryota, Metazoa, Chordata, Lepidosauria, Squamata, Varanidae. The transcript has 3 exons.
ACUCGCAGGAGUCUUCUCCAGCAUCACAAUUCAGAAGCAUCAAUUCUUUCGUGCUCAGCCUUCCUUAUGGUCCAACUCUCCCAAGCUAUACAUUACAAUUGGGCAAACCACAGCUUUGCCUUUACGAACUUUUGUUGGCAGGGUGAUGCCUCUGUUUUUUAGCACGAGGUCUAGAGUUGCCAUAGCUUACAUCCUCCCCAGGAGCAAGG